This 1148-nucleotide small RNA is filed under the name Pongo abelii (Sumatran orangutan). RNAcentral describes it as "processed transcript". The record is from RNAcentral. Lineage: Eukaryota; Metazoa; Chordata; Mammalia; Primates; Hominidae.
GGGGCUGCAGAAGGUCGGGGCUGCACUGCUCUCGGCCCCCACAUGGUUGGUUGCUUGGCGUGGUAAGUGCCCUGAUCCCUGGUCCUGAGAACUCAGGCUGGCACAGGGAUUCCCAGGGCAUCCACCACCACCCAGCUGGAGCCCAGGAACACGGAGAUGGACGCCCCCAGGCCCCCCAGUCUUGGUGUCCCUGGAGCAGCAUCGAGGCCCAGGAGAACUGUGGACAACGGAAGGCUGCGCCCCAUCCAUUGAGUUCCUGGGGCCCCGCUGGAGGGGCUGCUGUGGCUAGGGUGCCCGGUCACAAAUGAAGACAUCAAGGUGCAGAGAGGUGACUCAGCCUACCCUCAGUCACCUAUCUGCUCCUGGAGGUGAUCCCCGACUCCAUGAAGAAGCAAGAGGUGCGGACGGGCAGGGAGGCCGGCCAGGGCCACGACCUCCCCCACUGGCCUCGUCCCGCAGACUCCAGGAUACAGAGGCACCGCAGGGCCCUGCUGAGCAAGGUGGGAGGUGUCCCGGAGCUGGGCAGACCCUGGCACAGGCUGGCCUCCCUCCUGCUGGUGGAGGGCCUGACAGACCUGCAGCUGAGGGAACACGACUUCACACAGGUGGAGGCCACCCGCGGGGGCGGGCGCCCCGCCAGGACCGUCGCCCUGGACCGGCUCUUCCUGCCUCUCUCCCGGGUGUCUGUCCCACCCCGGGUCUCCAUCACUAUCGGGGUGGCUGGCAUGGGCAAGACCACCCUGGUGAGGCACUUUGUCCGCCUCUGGGCCCAUGGGCAGGUCGGCAAGGACUUCUCGCUGGUGCUGCCUCUGACCUUCCGGGAUCUCAACACCCACGAGAAGCUGUGUGCUGACCGACUCAUCUGCUCGGUCUUCCCGCAUGUCGGGGAGCCCAGCCUGGCGGUGGCAGUCCCAGCCAGGGCCCUCCUGAUCCUGGACGGCUUGGAUGAGUGCAGGACGCCUCUGGACUUCUCCAACACCGUGGCCUGCACGGACCCCAAGAAGGAGAUCCCGGUGGACCACCUGAUCACCAACAUCAUCCGCGGCAACCUCUUUCCGGAAGUUUCCAUCUGGAUCACCUCCCGUCCCAGUGCGUCUGGCCAGAUCCCGGGGGGCCUGGUGGACCGGAUGACGGAGAUCCGGGGCUUU